UUGAUACAGAGAAUAUUAGCAUGGCCCCUGCCCAAGAUUGACGCGCAAAUUUGUAAAGCAUUCUGUAUUAAA
Small nuclear RNA from Pongo abelii (Sumatran orangutan), 72 nucleotides. NCBI's taxonomy places the organism in Eukaryota, Metazoa, Chordata, Mammalia, Primates, Hominidae. The record is from Ensembl.